Non-coding RNA from Schistocerca gregaria, 75 nucleotides. The record is from the annotation of a RefSeq genome assembly. NCBI's taxonomy places the organism in Eukaryota, Metazoa, Arthropoda, Insecta, Orthoptera, Acrididae.
GCCCUCGGUGGCUCAGAUGGACAGAGCGUCCGCCAUGUAAGCGGGAGACCCCGGGUUCGGGUCCCGGUCGGGGCA